GAUGAACGCUGGCGGCGUGCCUAAUACAUGCAAGUCGAGCGAACAGACGAGGAGCUUGCUCCUCUGACGUUAGCGGCGGACGGGUGAGUAACACAUGGAUAACCUACCUAUAAGACUGGGAUAACUUCGGGAAACCGGAGCUAAUACCGGAUAAUAUGUUGAAUCGCAUGGUUCAACAGUGAAAGACGGUCUUGCUGUCACUUAUAGAUGGAUCCGCGCCGCAUUAGCUAGUUGGUAAGGUAACGGCUUACCAAGGCAACGAUGCGUAGCCGACCUGAGAGGGUGAUCGGCCACACUGGAACUGAGACACGGUCCAGACUCCUACGGGAGGCAGCAGUAGGGAAUCUUCCGCAAUGGGCGAAAGCCUGACGGAGCAACGCCGCGUGAGUGAAGAAGGUCUUCGGAUCGUAAAACUCUGUUAUUAGGGAAGAACAAAUGUGUAAGUAACUAUGCACGUCUUGACGGUACCUAAUCAGAAAGCCACGGCUAACUACGUG
This 497-nucleotide ribosomal RNA is filed under the name uncultured bacterium. RNAcentral's name for it is "partial 16S ribosomal RNA". It matches the Rfam family "Bacterial small subunit ribosomal RNA", at positions 28 to 507 of the family's 1533-position model. The record is from RNAcentral.